CUCACCUGCAUGCUCCCCUCCUGCAAGGGGUGAAGUGCAGAAGGUCUGAGGGAGUGGAAUUCGCCCCUGCCAGUGCUGAUGUGGCUGGCUAGUUCCGGUGCUCCUGCACCUCAGUUCCCACCCAUGAAAGGGUCAGGGAAAUAUCCUGCUUCACUAGGACUUAUAACAGCCAGCCGAAGUGAAGGCAGUAUGUGGGACUGAGCCCUUAACUUGUGGAGUGUUAUGCUAACUCCAGAAAACGUCCUAAUAAGAAGAUAAGGUGACCGAAUAAGGGGAUUACUUGGCAGAGAUAUGAGAGAACUGGGUUCUUGACCCCACUUUGCCAUGAACUUGGGCAGAGGAGCCUUUCCCUGUGGCCACCACUGCCUUCAGCCCAUAAGGGAGUUUUUCCAGGCUACCUCCGAUGAUCACUUAAAGCUCAACAGCUCUUCAUUCAGCUUGUGAGAUAGCCAGUCAUGGGACUGCUGGAUCAACUGGAGACAGAUCUAUACAACUACAAAUACCUGGAAUACGAAGGAAGAUUUACUUAGUGUGGUAAGUAAUUGACAUAGUUUUUAUCAAGCUCAGUGUUUUUUGUUUGUUUGUUUGCCAUGGCUGAGAAUGAAGAAUAAAAGCAGGCUUUGUGCUAUGCAAAAGGACACUGUACUCAA
This 650-nucleotide long non-coding RNA is filed under the name Homo sapiens (human). Its description in RNAcentral is "HSALNT0080162". The record is from RNAcentral. Lineage: Eukaryota; Metazoa; Chordata; Mammalia; Primates; Hominidae.